Molecule: ribosomal RNA, 468 nt
Filed under: uncultured bacterium
Lineage: Bacteria
Description: partial 16S ribosomal RNA
Rfam family: Bacterial small subunit ribosomal RNA
Source: RNAcentral
GACGAACGCUGGCGGCGUGCUUAACACAUGCAAGUCGAACGGCAAGGCCCUGCUUUUGUGGGGUGCUCGAGUGGCGAACGGGUGAGUAACACGUGAGUAACCUGCCCUUGACUUUGGGAUAACUUCAGGAAACUGGGGCUAAUACCGGAUAGGAGCUCCUGCUGCAUUGUGGGGGUUGGAAAGUUUCGGCGGUUGGGGAUGGACUCGCGGCUUAUCAGCUUGUUGGUGGGGUAGUGGCUUACCAAGGCUUUGGCGGGUAGCCGGCCUGAGAGGGUGACCGGCCACAUUGGGACUGAGAUACGGCCCAGACUCCUACGGGAGGCAGCAGUGGGGAAUAUUGCACAAUGGGCGGAAGCCGGAUGCAGCAACGCCGCGUGCGGGAUGACGGCCUUCGGGUUGUAAACCGCUUUCGCCUGUGACGAAGCGUGAGUGACGGUAAUGGGUAAAGAAGCACCGGCUAACUACGUG